Long non-coding RNA from Macaca mulatta (Rhesus monkey), 5700 nucleotides. NCBI's taxonomy places the organism in Eukaryota, Metazoa, Chordata, Mammalia, Primates, Cercopithecidae. The record is from Ensembl.
UUUUUUUUUUUUUUUUUUUUUUUUUUUGGUGUGAGAAAACACAAAAUAAAUAAACACAGAACCAGGACACCACCACAUUUGAGAGCAAAUAUCAGAGCUGGGAAACCACAGACGCGACAGGAAGGCUUCCCUGGUAGGAAGCAGGGGGAUGGGAAGCGAGUUACUGAGGUUACAGGAAAAUCCGCAGGAGGGAGCAGUGCUGGGAAGAACAUCCUGGGAGGACUGAGGGCUGAAUUCUACAGUGAGCCCCAGACCCAGAAGAAGAAAAUCUGGCAUGGGCCAGGGCCACUCCAUCUGCUGGUAGGAACCAGCCAAGGAGAAAAGGAGGCAGGAGGACAAGAGACUUUGGAGGGAGAUGAUAAAGAAAGAAUGGGUGAGUGGUAGGAAACAGACUGAGCCCAGAGAGAGGAAGGGGCUAAACCAAGAUUACAGAAAGUCGAAGCAGUGUCUCAUUCACUACUGGGGAUGCAAGACCUGUUGGGAGUCAGGAAACCUGGGUUCUGGUCUUGGCUCUGCCUGUGGUUUGCUGUGUGACCUUGGGUGAGCCACUGCCUUCUCUGGACCUGAUUCCUUAUCUCAAAAAAUGAGGGCGCUGGACACAAAAGGACAAAUACUGUAUGAUUCUACUUAAAAGAGAUACUUAGAAUAGGCUAAUCCACAGAGGAAAAAAAAAAAAGUAGAAUAGAGGUUACCAGGGGCUGGGGACAGGGGGAAUGGGGAGUUAUUGUUUAGUGGGUACAGAGUUUCAGUUUGGGGUGAUGAAAAAGUUCUGGAGGUGGCGGUUACACAUUGUGAAUGUACUUCAAGCCACUUAGAAAUCUUUAAAAUGGAAAAUUUAAUGUUAUGCAUAUUUUGCCAUAAUUUUUUUAAAAAGGAAGGGGUUUAGACCAAAUUAUGUUAUGGCCUCCUUGCUAUUCAUGAAGACUAGUGAAUGGGGUAAGGAGGGUAUUGUCCCCCACCCCAGGGCCAGGGCACUGAAAGGCUGGGCUGGGGACACUGAGUGUGGUCAGACCACUCUCCAUUUGUGUAGAACCUGACACUUUUCCAAGGGGACUCGCAGGCACAGUGUUGCAGUUGGUCCUCACCACAGUUACAUGGGGUGGGACGUUAUCCUCACUUUAUAGACGGGGAAACUGAGGUAUAGACUAGCCACAUGAUCUUGCCAAGGUCAUUCACGUCGGUGGAUUUUUUACUUUUUAAAUAGUCACCUGGAAAACAUCCUUGCAUCUUAGGUUCACCCGUUGACUCACCAACUGGCUCAGUGGCCCUAGAUGAAAGGAUACAUGCUAUAAAUUAGUAGAAGAGUUCAUCUCCUGGGGCAAACAUGCCUGCUUCCCAUAAUUGGAUGAUGAAAAUUAUAAAUCCUGAUGUGUUUCUCUUUUUACCAUGGCUGCCAGGAAACUCAAGAGUAAAAUUUAAUUGCAUGAUUAUAGGAAUUACACCAGUUAGAUUUAGAUAAUAAUUUGUCUUUUUUUUUUACUUCCUAUUUUUAUUUUAUUGAACCCCUCUGACUAAUAUUGUAAAUAGCCUCUGAUCCUUUUUGAAAAUCCUUUUUGAGUAAGAAAAUCAGUUUGGUUGGGGACUCGAUCCCUUAAGUCCCUGCUCAGGGCUUAGUGCUCUUUUUAAGAUACGGCAUCAUGUUUCUUGGUUAAAAGAAAGAUAAGGCUGGACGUGGUGGCUCAUGCCUAUAAUCCCAGUACUUUGGGAGGCCAAGGUGGUGCUGGGAUUACAGGUGUGACCGCUGCGCCCACCCCCCAACCCCAGGAGAGUUUGUUAAGCAUGCAGAUUCAAGGUGGGGUCCAGGAAUCUGCAUUCUGAACAUGCCCUCAGAGAAUUCUGCUGAAUGGGGACCUCAGAUCACCCUCUGGCAUACACAGGCUCAGUGAUCUAGAAUGGACUUGUUUUAUGCCUGGGUUGGCCAGCAGCAUAUUCUGGGUAUUCUGGACCCACAAAAAGCCCCCAGUAGGGCAGUGGAUUUGCACAGCAAACAGGACAGAGUUGGACUCAAGUUCUCAUCUAAACUCAGUGUGACUUCUUGUGCUCUGGGAUGAGAACUGUGCCUCAGUUUCCUCAUCUGCAAAAUGGGUGCACUAACCCAUGUCCUACCAAGGCUGCCUCCACGAGUUGUCCCUGAGAGGUCUGAAGGAGAUGUGGGGUGGGAAACGAUUUCUUUUUUGAGACAGGGUCUCACUCUGUCAUCCAGGCUGGAGUGCAGUGGCGCGAUCUCUGCUCCCACAACCUCUGUCUCCUGGACUCAAGCGAUUCUCCCACCUCAGCCUCCCGAGUAACUGGGAUUACAGGUGUGCACCACCACACUCAGCUCAUUUUUUGUACUUUUAGUAGAGACAGGGUUUCAACACGUUGGCCAGGCUGGCCUUGAACUCCUGACCUCAAGUGAUCUGCCUACCUCAGUCUCCCAAAGAGCUGGGAUUACAGGAGUGAGCCACCGUGCCCAGCCAGGGGACACGUUUUCUAAAUAGUAAAGUGCUUUAGGUGGGAUGUGUAGGGGAUGAUGAUGACAAUUAUUAUUACUAUUAUUAAGGAAGAAGUAGUGGGAGCUUGGGGGGUCUGGUGAGGCUAGAAGCAGGGGACAUUCUAGAUAGGAGGGGAGAGGAAGAAAGAGCCUGGACGCUGGGUGGGCCAGAGGAGAAGAGGCUGGGUGAUGAAACCAUAAAAGUGCAUGUGGGUGGACGUGAUGGAACCAUGUCAGCACAGGGUGUAAGAGGGUCAGGUCUUUGAGCCCUUGGCCUUGUCACAUCGGAAGCCAACUUGUAGAACAGUGCCCCUGGAGAUGCCUACAGGUGGGCUCCAUCUUGAGUUCAUAGAAAGCAAGACCUCUUAAGGUCAGCCUUUGGUGGGAAAUAAACUGGGGGAAAGGGCUGGCACAGGGUCAGGGAAUUGGAUUCUGAUGUCUCGUGCAUGCAGGUCUAAGAGCCACUGAUGCACCGAAAUGACUUGAUUUGCAUUCCAAUGAAGUCAUCAUUCCGAAAGGGGCUGAUUUGGCUCUGGAAAGAGGUCAGACAUAUGAAACAUGAGGUUUCCCAGUUUAGGACCAAUCAUGCCAACUGGUCCCCCAUUUCCCCCAACCAACUGGUGCCAACCCCAUGGACCCAAGCCAAGUGGUCUAUGGGGGAUUGGGACCCGAGGGUUCCUUGGGACUUUGGUUGAAGAGAGAGUGGAGAUGGGGAAAGGAGAAAGAAGGAUAAAGGAGGAGGAGGAAGGGGCUAGCAGUAAAAGGCAGAGAGGCAGGAGGAAGGGGGGAGAAAGGGUUCGAGAAGGGCAGCAUUCCUUCUUGGGACCCCGAUUCUCCAGGGAAUCCCCACUGUGGGUCAGGCAGUUUUCUGCUUUGGGAAUGUUACCAAGACUUAAAAGGCAUUUGAAGAAAGAAACAAACUUAGAAAUUACAUUCUAAAAGAGUAGAGAGUUUUUACAAACCAAUCCCCCCACCCCAAAAAAGAAAACACAACCAGUUACCAAGUAAAAUGCUAAAAAUCGAACCAAACCAAUAUUUACAUGUAACGUUUUCAACCCCAUCCAGCCCCACGUCCGGAGGCUUCUGCAGGAACAGUGAUGAGUGGCCUUGCACAGUGGCAUGCAGGAAGUAGAAACUGGGGCUUUACGGAAAACCAAGGUCUGGCUGAGACAACGAAGAUGGCAAGGACAAUCUUGGAUAGUAUGAUGGUAAGGCUGAGUGGUCCGUAGGUCUUGGGGCUCAUGUCCCACGGGGAUUUCUCCCCGAGGCUGGGUACGCAGCCUCCCUGGCUCUCUGUCGCUCUGGGAGGUGGCAGAAGGCCUCUGGUGACAUGUGGCCUGAUGUGAAUCCCCUCACCUGGAGAUAACCUUGGCGGGCCCCCCUGACCUCAUGGGUGAGAGCAGCAGCAUCCCAGAGUGGAACUGGCCCACAGCUCCACUGGCUGCCUGCUCUGCCCACACAAGUCACUGGGGCAUGGAGGAAGUGGCUGGCGGGACUGGCAUGACCCUGGUGUUCAGCCUGCAGGGAAGGGAGAUGCAGGACUUGGGGUAACUGGUCCAGGUGAUCCCGAAUGGAUGGGUCUGGGAACUGGCAGGUGGAGGUGGGAGUGCAUGGGCGCCUCCAGAGUCCUGGGGGCAAAUCAGCAAAGCUACUGGCUUUUGGUCUUCCUGAUGGGCAAUUCUGCAGACAAGCUGAUCCAUCCUGGUGUUUCCACUCUGGGUCCCCAGUCAGUUACAGGAAGGCUGCAUGUCUAUGUGUGUCGGGGGAGCAUGUGUGCAACCAAAAGGGGUUCACCGGCACCAAGGGGAGGCCAUGGGAGGCACUCCCCAACAUGCUGCAAUGAGCCACGUUGAAAUCCAACCAAUAGCUCAGGCAGCUCACGGAGGACGUGAGAAAGGGCAGGCAGCAGAGCUGGGGCAGGGAGAAGAGCCGUGAAAGGCCAUAAGGCUAAGGAGAGAGGCUGGUGAAAAGGCUGGCAGGCUGGUGAGAACCGAGGCAGGCUGGGAGACACUCAGGUUCAUGUGCAAAGCUGCGAUAAACAACAUUAUCAAAGUUCAGUCCUGUUUUCCUGCGAGUUCUCAUUUGGGAAACUUGGAAGGAUCUCCACGCUCUUGAUAGAGCCUUAGUAAUCCACAUUCAACUCAUGAAGAAAGGUGUCAGAGGGAGGGAGGGAAAUGAGACAGACAAGGAGAAUGUCUGGGGAGUGGUGAUGGCUGUUCAGCCCUCCACCUUGUCAGUGAGUAUUUACAGACUGACAGCUGGGGUUGGCCAAGUACCAGGCAUUGAGUAAUAAGUAGUGUUCUGAGGCCACAUGGCCAGCAGUGUUGGGGUACAGGGCUCCAGCUCUGUUGAGGGGCCCUCCAAAACUGACCAGGAGACCAGGUCUCCAAACCUGGCUGCCAAGCUGCCUUGUCCACCUGGGGGACCCCGUGGCUGUCCAUGCCAUUAGAAGCCCCAUGUUGUCCCAGUGGCAAGAAUGCAUGUUUCAACCUCCAAUAAAUUACCUUAAGGACUUUGGGGUAAAUUAAAUUAUUAAAAUAAAGUAAAUCACCUUAAAUAUUUAUAGUAUGAAAAAUUCAAAUAAACAAUCUAGGCAAGAUAUAUGUUUCCAGGCCCCAGUCUAUUGCUGUGUCCUGGGCUCUGGCCUCUCGGUGUUCUCCUGGGCCUGACCUGGCCAACCAAGAGUCUCUUACUGGGAAUAUCUUUGCCCCCCUACCAGCUGCAGGAUGUAAACACAGUGGAGAUGUAGUGCCUACCCCCUCUUAGGGUGCCAGGGAGAGGCCUCUGAGAUCAAGAUCAAGGCAGUGUAUUCAGGCAUUUAUCUAUGCACCAGGUCUUGAGACUGACUCUACCUAUUUCUAUCCUCAAAGGGUCUGCUGGGAACAUUGGGGUCCCAAGUCACUUUGGCAAGGAAGGCAAUUGCAAUCACUCCCCAACCCUGAGCCCUGCAGAUUUCCACUUUGCCUCCCAGCUCUUGCUGCAGCCAGGCUAUGGGCAGGGAGAUCCAGGGCUCCAGGACUCCAAGCAGAUACUUGGCCCUGGCUACUGCCCUAUCAUGCCCCCUAGUGUCCCAGCAAUCUAGAGCAGUGGGCCUGGGAGGAGGAGGUGGUGGAGAGAAGGAGGUGAUGGUGAUGAUGCCCAGCAGUGCUCCACCAGGAACCCAACAUGGAGCCCUAGAGCAAAGCCUGUUCUUCUCAGCAGUGUCUCCUCCUGAAUGAAGGGGUGGA